CCACCAAUGCUCAGUAGCAGCAGUGUGCACCAUCUACGAGAUACACUGCAGAAAUUCGCCAAGGAACCUGACCCAACACUUUCCAAAUCUAUGACCACGUCCAUCUAGAAGGACAAGGACAGUGGAUGUAUAUGAACACCUUCAAGUUCCUCUCCAAGCCACUCACCAUCCUGACUUGGAAAUAUAACGCCGAUCCUUUACUGUCACUAGGUCAAAACUCUACAAUUCCUUUGUAACAUAGCUUACACCAUGGAAAAGCUUCCUUAUCCCUGAUGUGUAACAUUAACUCUGAAAAUAAUACGUUUUGACAAUUCCACUUCUUAUCCCAGUAUUUUUGAUGACUUUCAGUUGCUCUUGCCAUUCUGGUCUAUAAAUGGGUGAGGUGAGAGGUAUUAGAAUGAACUGCAUUAAGUAUGGAAUAAAGGUGUCACUGUCCAGUCUGUAUUUAAGGAAAGAAGACAUUGUACAGGUUGUUACUGGUACAUGAGAAAUUCUGCUGCUACGGAAUGCCACUGACAUUGUUUUAGCCUACACCCAGUGGAGGUACCCAUCUCCGCAGUCCCAAAUUGCAUGUUGUUAGUUCGUUUUGUAACUUAAUUUGCACAUUUAGAGUAUAGAUCGUAUAUACCAUGCCUGUGUGAAUUCAGGUACACACCAGGUGUAUCUCCCAUUUGAAUUUUUAAUGUUUAAGUUUGGUUUUCCCCUGCUCUUCUGGUAAUAAAUUCACACAUUGUAUUGAAACUUUACUGUUAAACACCAUGAAUUGCUGUAACAAAUGUGGUUGCAAUUGUAGAGUAUAUUUUGUAACUCCAUACCAACAGUAACAUGCAUCAAGAGCACUUUUUUGAUGCAGAUGAAACAGCUCAAAUGACUCUGAGUCAAUAACCAGACAAAAAUGGACACUGCUGAAAUGGGAGAUAUUAGGUAUGGUAGCCAAAAAUGCUUUCACAGAAGUAAUAAAGAUAUUGAAGGUUUAGAAAAAGAGUUAGAAAGCAUUGGAUCUAGAUAAUUGAAGGCAAGCGACUGAUGUUGUUAGAAUUGUAGACUGAAUACACCAGGCGGUAUAUUUUGAGGCAUGGGAAGGUGGUUAUGGUGCUUGACGACGUUAGAUUUGGGAAUGGUGAAGUCAUGAAGUAAUUAAACUUGUUAAAUUGCCCUCCAAAGCUAAAAAACUAUGCCAUGCUUUGAUUAGUAAGAGGAUCAAAAGUUAGAAGGAGAAGAGUGUGGUUGAGACACAUCAACCAUGAUCAAAUGACAGAGCAGACUUGAUGGGCAGAAUGGUUUAAUUCUGGUCCUAUAUCUUAUGGUCCAAUACUGUGCCAGGUAAAGAGCAAGGGUUUCAAAAAUACUGAUGGACAAAGUGACACUUUCCCUGAUCUCUUUUUAAAGCAAUAAUCUUUUGUUUUUGAAAGUGGGGUCUUAAAUCUUCACAGGUUCAGUCUUAGCCUGGACACAUGGGUGGGUGCUGUUUUGGGCUUGAGGAGCCUUACAUCUGUGUCAUGUGGCAGCUGGUGGGCAGCUUGGAUUGUGUGAGCUCCUUGUAGAGCUUUGUUGUAAGUAAGGGGCAGAAGCUUUGCUGCCUUUACAAAUUCCUAUAGAAUCCCUAGUGUACAUUCAGGGCCAGGAGCCAGCUUUAUCUUUCUAAUGCACUCUUGGUGGGAUUAUGGAAGGUUAUGCAGAAAGGACCCUGGAUAUUUGACUUCUCUGGUUUAGAGUCCAUCAAAAUUAACAGUUUUGCCGCUGUAGUGACAGGAUAUACUCCCAUCCAUGGAGAUUUGUUGGGACACUGUGUUACUCAUUUUCUUUCAAUUUAUAGGGAAGUGGAACAAUGUAAACGGAAACACUAUGAAGAGAAUGUGGAUGAUUCUCGAACCCGAAUGGAAAUCGCAAAGAUAGAAGCCAGACACGACAAGUACAUGAAUGAAAUGGAUGAUUUAUUCUCCCAGGUGGAUGAAAAGA
Chiloscyllium plagiosum (whitespotted bambooshark) is the source of this 1959-nucleotide non-coding RNA. The record is from RefSeq and is a predicted model, not a curated record. Lineage: Eukaryota; Metazoa; Chordata; Chondrichthyes; Orectolobiformes; Hemiscylliidae.